RNAcentral lists this long non-coding RNA (473 nucleotides) under Capsicum annuum. RNAcentral describes it as "long non-coding RNA (CANN_LNC021661)". Lineage: Eukaryota; Viridiplantae; Streptophyta; Magnoliopsida; Solanales; Solanaceae. The record is from RNAcentral.
ACUUCCCUUCUAUUCAGUAUGGAAAAAAAUCAGUAGAUUGUAUUUUAUCUAAUCACCUUAUUUAUCUUUUCACGUGGUUAGUCACUUCUUUUGUUUCUUUAUCCCUCUCCUUACAUCAAACAUGUAUAAAAGAUUCGAACAACUCUAGAUCUGCCGCAAUCGUAUAAUAAUUUUUAAUCUCACAUGAUGAAUUACAAUAUUUAAUUAAUUAUUUGGAUUUAAACAUGCUUUUGUUUGAUGCUAACAAAUUUUUAAUUUUCAGAUAUAGUGACGGGACGAUCGAAGUGUCAUACUAUCGACGAUUGUGAUUCUAAUGAGUGUCAGUGGGGGAUUGCCGUUCAGAGUCCCAUAUGUCGUGAUGGGGAAUGUUUUUGUGUUAGUCCCGGAACAUACUCUGGUUAUCAACAAGGAAAUGGAUUUGGUCACAAAGUUAACUCAUAGGAGUCUUCCUAGUUGUUUAAAUCUAUUGGAGU